This 85-nucleotide transfer RNA is filed under the name Algoriphagus aquaeductus. RNAcentral describes it as "tRNA-Leu". It matches the Rfam family "tRNA". From Rfam's summary of the family: Transfer RNA (tRNA) molecules are approximately 80 nucleotides in length. Their secondary structure includes four short double-helical elements and three loops (D, anti-codon, and T loops). Further hydrogen bonds mediate the characteristic L-shaped molecular structure. tRNAs have two regions of fundamental functional importance: the anti-codon, which is responsible for specific mRNA codon recognition, and the 3' end, to which the tRNAs corresponding amino acid is attached (by aminoacyl-tRNA synthetases). tRNAs cope with the degeneracy of the genetic code in two manners: having more than one tRNA (with a specific anti-codon) for a particular amino acid; and 'wobble' base-pairing, i.e. permitting non-standard base-pairing at the 3rd anti-codon position. Lineage: Bacteria; Pseudomonadati; Bacteroidota; Cytophagia; Cytophagales; Cyclobacteriaceae. RNAcentral also lists the same sequence under 5 other names. The record is from RNAcentral.
GCCGGGAUGGUGGAAUAGGUAGACACGCAAGACUUAAAAUCUUGUGGCCAUAUCGGCCGUGCGGGUUCGAUUCCCGCUCCUGGUA